UUGCAUAUACUUUUUUUCUAGGCAAAGUAUCUCUUAACUGCAUCUGAAUUCACAGGACGAGUGAAAUCCUCCCCAUCCAUUGUUGUAAGCAUCAAAGCACCGCCUGAAAAGGCUCUCUUAACAACAUAUGGACCCUCGUAGUUUGGAGUCCACUUGCCCCUGGAAUCGGGCGCGAAAGACAAAACUUUCUUGAGCACGAGGUCACCUUCUC
This 211-nucleotide long non-coding RNA is filed under the name Lathyrus oleraceus (garden pea). RNAcentral describes it as "Pisum sativum (pea) long non-coding RNA (PSAT_LNC006030)". The record is from RNAcentral. Lineage: Eukaryota; Viridiplantae; Streptophyta; Magnoliopsida; Fabales; Fabaceae.